This 55-nucleotide transfer RNA is filed under the name Ascaris lumbricoides (common roundworm). RNAcentral describes it as "tRNA-Ser". Lineage: Eukaryota; Metazoa; Nematoda; Chromadorea; Rhabditida; Ascarididae. The record is from RNAcentral.
GACCUAGUUUGUUUGUGUUUUGAAAACACAAUUUAGGUUUUUAACCUGUAGUUUU